This 253-nucleotide ribosomal RNA is filed under the name uncultured prokaryote. RNAcentral describes it as "partial 16S ribosomal RNA". It matches the Rfam family "Bacterial small subunit ribosomal RNA", at positions 524 to 776 of the family's 1533-position model. The record is from RNAcentral.
UACGGAGGGUGCAAGCGUUAUCCGGAUUUAUUGGGUUUAAAGGGUGCGUAGGCGGUUAUAUAAGUCAGCGGUGAAAUUUUUCAGCUUAACUGGAAACAUGCCGUUGAUACUGUAUAGCUUGAAUAUGGUUGCUGUGAGUGGAAUGUGUAGUGUAGCGGUGAAAUGCUUAGAUAUUACACAGAAUAUCGAUUGCGAAGGCAACUCACAAAGCCAUUAUUGACGCUGAGGCACGAAAGUGUGGGGAUCAAACAGG